CAUGCAAGUCGAACGAAGGCUUCGGCCUUAGUGGCGCACGGGUGCGUAACGCGUGGGAAUCUGCCCUUGGGUUCGGAAUAACAGUGAGAAAUUACUGCUAAUACCGGAUGAUGUCGAAAGACCAAAGAUUUAUCGCCCGAGGAUGAGCCCGCGUAGGAUUAGCUAGUUGGUGAGGUAAGAGCUCACCAAGGCGACGAUCCUUAGCUGGUCUGAGAGGAUGAUCAGCCACACUGGGACUGAGACACGGCCCAGACUCCUACGGGAGGCAGCAGUGGGGAAUAUUGGACAAUGGGCGAAAGCCUGAUCCAGCAAUGCCGCGUGAGUGAUGAAGGCCUUAGGGUUGUAAAGCUCUUUUACCCGGGAUGAUAAUGACAGUACCGGGAGAAUAAGCCCCGGCUAACUCCGUGCCAGCAGCCGCGGUAAUACGGAGGGGGCUAGCGUUAUUCGGAAUUACUGGGCGUAAAGCGCACGUAGGCGGCUUUGUAAGUCAGAGGUGAAAGCCUGGAGCUCAACUCCAGAACUGCCUUUGAGACUGCAUCGCUUGAAUCCAGGAGAGGUGAGUGGAAUUCCGAGUGUAGAGGUGAAAUUCGUAGAUAUUCGGAAGAACACCAGUGGCGAAGGCGGCUCACUGGACUGGUAUUGACGCUGA
Molecule: ribosomal RNA, 649 nt
Filed under: uncultured bacterium
Lineage: Bacteria
Description: bacterial SSU rRNA
Rfam family: Bacterial small subunit ribosomal RNA
Source: RNAcentral